GUGUUUCUGAAAUCAGUCUUGUGAUUUUUGCUUGGUUGUUGUUCUCACGGUCUUUAAUGUAUUUCAUCUUCUUUUACUACCUUUUCUGGUAUAUGAUUUGUGUUUAAGCAAGCAUUUCUUCUCACUAAAAUGCUCUAAGAUGGUGUUUCUUUAUUGUCUUCAUGCAGUGGUUGCUCAGCUCCUACAAUACACAAAUACUUAUCAUGGCGUUUCUAGCCAUUGUUUCUCUACUACUAUCUGGUUUCUUUGGAUACCAUGCUAAAUUAUGCAUCACAAACACCACAACAAAUGAGACAUUUAAGUGGAAAGAGUAUUUAAGCUGGCAGAGGAAGCUGCUUGAGGCAAAGGCAAGUGAGGCAGCCCUUAAAGAAAGUUUAGUUGAACUGAGCCUUGAUAAGAAGCUUCCGCAGAGCAAAUUGAAGGCCAUAUUCAGGAGAUCUCGUCUAGAAGAGGUGGAGGUUGUUCAAAAUAACAUUUAUGAUAAAGGCUUCCUCCACAAUUUAUAUGAGAUAAUUUUUCCUUAUUCAACAAGAAAGUCAUUUUCACAAAAGAAAUCAAAAUUGCGUUAGUAAUCCCUUGAAUUUCUGGAUGAGGUGGCCUGCUAACUAUUCUUAGCUCUUAUGCGUCCUGGAUGACCUUUACUCCUGGAGAACAAUCUAAAUUCAAGGUCAUUUGGGUUUUUACCCUUUUUAACCUAUCUGUCAUGGUGUAAUCUAAGUCGCUAUGCUACAUGGGACUCGUUGUCCCUGUUGCAGCUUUGAUAGCUCACUUUAAGGUAAAAAGAAUGAAAUGGGUUGAGCAAUUGGAUAAAGGUAUUCAUAGCACAUGAGCAUUCCCAUGCAACGCGCGUCACUUCUACUGGUGGCUUGGAAUGAAGAUACUAGAAUGACCAAAGGAAGAUAGAACUCGCUCUCCCAAUACUGCAGUUGUUCUCCAAUUUCCGGUAGGCAAUACUCUAGUUAGUGUUCCUAGUUGUGUGACAGCUGCUCAGUUUUACGAGGAGAUACUUCAUGAAUUCUUGACUAGGUGCCUCUGCUUCUUAUACUUGUUAUUAUGACUCUAUGACAACUUGAUUUUUUUGGUUGUAUGCGUCCUUUCUGAUAUAUCUAGUUAUGGAAACCUUAUCUGUUCGCCAUAACCUCUUUGAUAAUUAACAGUCAUUCUUUCCCUCUGAUGGGAUUGUAUCUUGUCUAUGGAUGGAUUGACUUCUCUCAGACGCUUCAUCACACUAAUGGGAAGGCAUUCUAAUACUCAUUGAAGGGAACUGCUAUUAGGAGUUUUUACUCGUUACACAUUCUUUCCAAGAUUUAAAAAGAGAGCAGUCAUAUGUAGCAACUAAUGUGGAGGUGAUAGAUAAGAGUAAUUUGUCUGAAUAAGCAGUGAAACCACAGUGGAUGAUGUGGUGCAGUGCCAACCGUCUGCUGAACUUGAGAAGAAAAUCCAGCCUUGUCGUUUGGUUUUGAGAGGCGAGAAGGAUGGAUGAUGAGGGGAUUAAAGGGCUAAUUUAUCAUCAGUUUCUGGUGAUUUCUUCUCAAAUUCUUGCUUUUCCAAAUUGGAAGCUGAAAUGGUAUUCUAUGAAUUUAUUUUGGGAUUCAUCUUCCUUACACACACUGUCAGUAUUGGAUGAAUGAUAAUUAUGUAAAAUUUGAAUUUGAAAUUUAAAUUUUUUGUUGAACAA
Non-coding RNA from Coffea arabica (coffee), 1678 nucleotides. NCBI's taxonomy places the organism in Eukaryota, Viridiplantae, Streptophyta, Magnoliopsida, Gentianales, Rubiaceae. The record is from RefSeq and is a predicted model, not a curated record.